GGAGGUUUUAAAGGCUCCUUGUAAAAACGACACGCAGACGCCAUCCGGAGGCCAUGGGGGAGGGGCGCGCCUGCAGAUUUGCAUUUUAUUUGGUUUGUGCUCAGAGGGGAGAGAGGGCCCUACUGCCCCCCUCCCAGCCAAGAGCGGCUGGCGGGCGGCUGCAGGUUCCAGGCCAAGUACGCUUUGGGGUCUAAGAAGAGCAAAUUCAGAACGGCGCAUUUGGAUGGGAAAGGCGUACGAUGAUGACGAAGUUUAGAAAAUGCAGGAUAACUGUUCCUCAGAGCUGCUGGGGAGAGACCUUGAGCUCUUCCUAAAAGCAAAGAAGAGGCCAACCUUCCUAGCCUGAGGAUGGUCAGGGCAGCGGACUGAUGUCUUCGCUCCUUCCACACACAUGUGUUCGGUCCCCAGCGAGCCGAGGAGACAGCAGAGGUUGGAGCUGCCUCGGAACUCCCUGGGCCAUUCCUGCUCGGCUGGGAAACAACGCCAAACACAAUGGAAAUGGAAUCCAGGGCAGAGCGAGGGGCCGCGGCUUCCAUCGGUGCCCAGGGAAGCCCUGCGCGCAGGCUCUGGGGGACAUCUGGUUGGCUUCCCUGGGGUGGCAGGGAGACCGCUUCUUAAGACAGUGUCACAGAGCCGCACACAGGGAAGCAGCUGGAAAUGACAGUCGCUGUUCUGGGCGGCCCAGCUCCCAGCUGCACCUCAGGACUGCUGCUCCUCGGAGAGAGGGUAGAGGAGGCGCUGGGGAGGGCUCAGGUGUGUCACUCCUGCCCCACAGUGGCCCUGUCUGCUCCCCCCCACCCCCCCGUCCACCUCCUGCCGGGUGGCCUUGCUGUUCCCCGUGCCCCCUGGGAGGGGGUCACCGCCCAGUAGCCCUGCUUUGCUCUGCAGCCCCCCAGUCCCGAGCACAGAGCCUGUCACGCUGUCCACCCACCCAGGUGCCCGCCUCCAGUGGGCGGCCCCAGAGAGAACACACUUGACCUGUGCUGGCUGCUGCACAGCGGCGGGUGGGGCUGAGUUCACCUGCUGUUUGCAUUUUUAAAAAGAUUCUUCAUUUUGAGAAUUCAUAAAAAACAAUUUUGUUCAAAUGAG
This 1089-nucleotide long non-coding RNA is filed under the name Heterocephalus glaber (naked mole-rat). Its description in RNAcentral is "lncRNA (ENSHGLG00000043728.1)". The record is from RNAcentral. Lineage: Eukaryota; Metazoa; Chordata; Mammalia; Rodentia; Bathyergidae.